RNAcentral lists this transfer RNA (89 nucleotides) under Parcubacteria group bacterium CG1_02_50_68. Its description in RNAcentral is "tRNA-Ser". It matches the Rfam family "tRNA". Rfam says of the family: Transfer RNA (tRNA) molecules are approximately 80 nucleotides in length. RNAcentral also lists the same sequence under 6 other names. The record is from RNAcentral.
GGAGGCGUCGCAUAGUUGGUCUAGUGCGCCGGUUUCGAAAACCGGUAUACCGCAAGGUAUCGUGAGUUCGAAUCUCACCGCCUCCGCCA